Molecule: small nuclear RNA, 62 nt
Organism: Callithrix jacchus (white-tufted-ear marmoset)
Lineage: Eukaryota; Metazoa; Chordata; Mammalia; Primates; Cebidae
Gene: U7
Rfam family: U7 small nuclear RNA
About the family: Animal histone pre-mRNAs are spliced by a different mechanism than nuclear pre-mRNAs and self-splicing introns. This processing involves the U7 snRNP, which contains only one RNA species: U7.
Source: Ensembl
AAGUGUUAGGGCCCUUUUAGACUUUGUCUAGCAGGCUUUCUGGUUUUUGUUGGAAAGCCCUC